UUAGUCCUACGGGGGGCAGCAGUGGGGAAUAUUGCACAAUGGGGGAAACCCUGAUGCAGCGACGCCGCGUGAGUGGGGAAGUAUUUCGGUAUGUAAAGCUCUAUCAGUAGGGAAGAAAAUGACGGUACCUGACUAAGAAGCCCCGGCUAACUACGUGCCAGCAGCCGCGGUAAUACGUAGGGGGCAAGCGUUAUCCGGAUUUACUGGGUGUAAAGGGAGCGUAGACGGAAUAGCAAGUCUGAUGUGAAAACCCGGGGCUCAACUCCGGGAGUGCAUUGGAAACUGUUGAUCUAGAGUGUCGGAGG
Molecule: ribosomal RNA, 305 nt
Filed under: uncultured bacterium
Lineage: Bacteria
Description: bacterial SSU rRNA
Rfam family: Bacterial small subunit ribosomal RNA
Source: RNAcentral